CUACGGGGGGCUGCAGUGAGGAAUUUUGCGCAAUGGGGGAAACCCUGACGCAGCAACGCCGCGUGAGCGAAGAAGGCCUUCGGGUCGUAAAGCUCUGUCAAGUGGGAAAAAAAUUCUUUGAUGAACAGUCAAAGGACUUGAUGGUACCACUGGAGGAAGCACCGGCUAACUCCGUGCCAGCAGCCGCGGUAAUACGGAGGGUGCAAGCGUUGCUCGGAAUUACGGGGCGUAAAGAGCGUGUAGGCGGUUUGACAAGUCAGAUGUGAAAGCCCCGGGCUCAACCCGGGAAGUGCAUUUGAAACUGUUUCACUAGAGUAUGGGAGAGGAGAUUGGAAUUCCUGGUGUAGAGGUGAAAUUCGUAGAUAUCAGGAGGAACACCCGUGGCGAAGGCGAUUCUCUGGACCAAUACUGACGCUGAGACGCGAAAGCGUGGGGAGCAAACAGGAUUAGAUACCCUCGUAGUC
RNAcentral lists this ribosomal RNA (464 nucleotides) under uncultured bacterium. RNAcentral's name for it is "partial 16S ribosomal RNA". It matches the Rfam family "Bacterial small subunit ribosomal RNA", at positions 339 to 795 of the family's 1533-position model. The record is from RNAcentral.